UCGUCCUUAGUUGCCAUCAUUUAGUUGGGCACUCUAAGGAAACCGCCGGUGAUAAGCCGGAGGAAGGUGGGGAUGACGUCAAGUCCUCAUGGCCCUUACGCGCUGGGCUACACACGUGCUACAAUGGCGGUGACAGUGGGCAGCAAUCUCGCAAGGGUGAGCUAAUCUCCAAAAGCCGUCUCAGUUCGGAUUGUUCUCUGCAACUCGAGAGCAUGAAGGCGGAAUCGCUAGUAAUCGCGGAUCAGCAUGCCGCGGUGAAUACGUUCCCAGGCCUU
This 275-nucleotide ribosomal RNA is filed under the name uncultured bacterium. RNAcentral's name for it is "partial 16S ribosomal RNA". It matches the Rfam family "Bacterial small subunit ribosomal RNA", at positions 1105 to 1382 of the family's 1533-position model. The record is from RNAcentral.